RNAcentral lists this ribosomal RNA (253 nucleotides) under uncultured bacterium. RNAcentral describes it as "partial 16S ribosomal RNA". It matches the Rfam family "Bacterial small subunit ribosomal RNA", at positions 524 to 776 of the family's 1533-position model. The record is from RNAcentral.
UACAGAGGUCCCAAGCGUUGUUCGGAUUCACUGGGCGUAAAGGGUGCGUAGGUGGUUGGGUAAGUCUGAUGUGAAAUCUCUGAGCUUAACUCAGAAACUGCAUUGGAUACUAUCCGGCUGGAGGAGUGGAGGGGGGACUGGAAUACUUGGUGUAGCAGUGAAAUGCGUAGAUAUCAAGUGGAACACCAGUGGCGAAGGCGAGUCCCUGGACACUUCCUGACACUGAGGCACGAAAGCUAGGGGAGCAAACAGG